RNAcentral lists this unclassified non-coding RNA (200 nucleotides) under Preussia sp. (in: ascomycete fungi). RNAcentral's name for it is "Preussia sp. (in: Fungi) partial internal transcribed spacer 2". The record is from RNAcentral. Lineage: Eukaryota; Fungi; Ascomycota; Dothideomycetes; Pleosporales; Sporormiaceae.
UUAAGUUCAGCGGGUAUUCCUACCCGAUCCGAGGUCAAAUUCAUGGGGGUAGCUCCUGGGAGCCGAUCCGUCGGGCCCGAGUUCGCGUUUCUGCUGCGCUCGAAGCCAACGUGCCGGCCGCCAAUAGAUUUGAGGCGAGUCCGCGCCGUGAGGCGGGACAGACGCCCAACACCAAGCAGAGCUUGAAGGUUUGAAUGACG